GCCUCGUGAUGCGACUGGCGUCGCAGCUCCACUGUCUAUGGAGUGAGACGGGUUCGAUUCCCGUACGAGGCG
This 72-nucleotide transfer RNA is filed under the name Labilithrix sp. RNAcentral's name for it is "tRNA-Asp". The record is from RNAcentral. Lineage: Bacteria; Pseudomonadati; Myxococcota; Polyangiales; Labilitrichaceae.